CCUACGGGAGGCAGCAGUGAGGAAUAUUGGUCAAUGGACGAGAGUCUGAACCAGCCAAGUAGCGUGAAGGAUGACUGCCCUAUGGGUUGUAAACUUCUUUUAUAUGGGAAUAAAAUGUUCCACGUGUGGGAUUUUGUAUGUACCAUAUGAAUAAGGAUCGACUAACUCCGUGCCAGCAGCCGCGGUAAUACGGAGGGUCCGAGCGUUAUCCGGAUUUAUUGGGUUUAACGGGAGCGUAGGUGGAUUGGUAAGUCAGUUGUGAAAGGUUGCGGCUCAACCGUAAAAUUGCAGUUGAAACUGGCAGUCUUGAGUACAGGAGAGGUAGGCGGAAUUUGGGGUGGAGCGGUGAAAUGCUUAGAUA
This 361-nucleotide ribosomal RNA is filed under the name uncultured bacterium. RNAcentral's name for it is "partial 16S ribosomal RNA". It matches the Rfam family "Bacterial small subunit ribosomal RNA", at positions 338 to 696 of the family's 1533-position model. The record is from RNAcentral.